GAUCAUAACUGGCAGGGGAGAUGCCAUGAUUAAGAAGAAGGUGGUUUUCCUGGGGCGAGGCUUAUCCAUUGCUCCCCAGGUGAGAUGAACUCUGUGAUUUUCCCAAGUGCAGGAAACUCAGCUUGUAAUUUGUGGUAGUGGGGGACUGCUUUUGUGCUCUCCCCUA
This is a small nuclear RNA of Talpa occidentalis (Iberian mole), 166 nucleotides long. RefSeq annotates it as U1 spliceosomal RNA. The transcript has a single exon. The record is from RefSeq and is a predicted model, not a curated record. NCBI's taxonomy places the organism in Eukaryota, Metazoa, Chordata, Mammalia, Eulipotyphla, Talpidae.